Molecule: ribosomal RNA, 1267 nt
Filed under: Lactobacillus helveticus
Lineage: Bacteria; Bacillati; Bacillota; Bacilli; Lactobacillales; Lactobacillaceae
Description: bacterial SSU rRNA
Rfam family: Bacterial small subunit ribosomal RNA
Source: RNAcentral
UGGGAUACCACUUGGAAACAGGUGCUAAUACCGGAUAAGAAAGCAGAUCGCAUGAUCAGCUUAUAAAAGGCGGCGUAAGCUGUCGCUAUGGGAUGGCCCCGCGGUGCAUUAGCUAGUUGGUAAGGUAACGGCUUACCAAGGCAAUGAUGCAUAGCCGAGUUGAGAGACUGAUCGGCCACAUUGGGACUGAGACACGGCCCAAACUCCUACGGGAGGCAGCAGUAGGGAAUCUUCCACAAUGGACGCAAGUCUGAUGGAGCAACGCCGCGUGAGUGAAGAAGGUUUUCGGAUCGUAAAGCUCUGUUGUUGGUGAAGAAGGAUAGAGGCAGUAACUGGCCUUUAUUUGACGGUAAUCAACCAGAAAGUCACGGCUAACUACGUGCCAGCAGCCGCGGUAAUACGUAGGUGGCAAGCGUUGUCCGGAUUUAUUGGGCGUAAAGCGAGCGCAGGCGGAAGAAUAAGUCUGAUGUGAAAGCCCUCGGCUUAACCGAGGAACUGCAUCGGAAACUGUUUUUCUUGAGUGCAGAAGAGGAGAGUGGAACUCCAUGUGUAGCGGUGGAAUGCGUAGAUAUAUGGAAGAACACCAGUGGCGAAGGCGACUCUCUGGUCUGCAACUGACGCUGAGGCUCGAAAGCAUGGGUAGCGAACAGGAUUAGAUACCCUGGUAGUCCAUGCCGUAAACGAUGAGUGCUAAGUGUUGGGAGGUUUCCGCCUCUCAGUGCUGCAGCUAACGCAUUAAGCACUCCGCCUGGGGAGUACGACCGCAAGGUUGAAACUCAAAGGAAUUGACGGGGGCCCGCACAAGCGGUGGAGCAUGUGGUUUAAUUCGAAGCAACGCGAAGAACCUUACCAGGUCUUGACAUCUAGUGCCAUCCUAAGAGAUUAGGAGUUCCCUUCGGGGACGCUAAGACAGGUGGUGCAUGGCUGUCGUCAGCUCGUGUCGUGAGAUGUUGGGUUAAGUCCCGCAACGAGCGCAACCCUUGUUAUUAGUUGCCAGCAUUAAGUUGGGCACUCUAAUGAGACUGCCGGUGACAAACCGGAGGAAGGUGGGGAUGACGUCAAGUCAUCAUGCCCCUUAUGACCUGGGCUACACACGUGCUACAAUGGACAGUACAACGAGAAGCGAGCCUGCGAAGGCAAGCGAAUCUCUGAAAGCUGUUCUCAGUUCGGACUGCAGUCUGCAACUCGACUGCACGAAGCUGGAAUCGCUAGUAAUCGCGGAUCAGAACGCCGCGGUGAAUACGUUCCCGGGCCUUGUACACACCGC